CCUACGGGAGGCAGCAGUAGGGAAUAGUGCUCAAUGGGGGAAACCCUGAAGCAGCAACGCCGCGUGGAGGAUGAAGGUUUUCGGAUUGUAAACUCCUUUUGGUAGAGAAGAGAAGGACGGUAGCUAACGAAUAAGAACCGGCUAACGCCGUGCCAGCAGCCGCGGUAAUACGGAGGGUGCAAGCGUGACUCGGAAUCACUGGGCGUCAAGAGCGCGUAGGCGGGAUCGCAAGUCAGAUGUGAAAUCCUAUGGCUUAACCAUAGAACUGCAUGUGAAACUGUUAUUCUAGAGUAUGGGAGAGGUAGGUGGAAUUCUUGGUGUAGUGGUCCAAUCC
RNAcentral lists this ribosomal RNA (334 nucleotides) under uncultured bacterium. Its description in RNAcentral is "partial 16S ribosomal RNA". It matches the Rfam family "Bacterial small subunit ribosomal RNA", at positions 338 to 689 of the family's 1533-position model. The record is from RNAcentral.